Long non-coding RNA from Sceloporus undulatus (fence lizard), 4143 nucleotides. RefSeq lists it as uncharacterized. Lineage: Eukaryota; Metazoa; Chordata; Lepidosauria; Squamata; Phrynosomatidae. The record is from RefSeq and is a predicted model, not a curated record. The transcript is spliced from 2 exons.
CAUUGUAUUUAAUAGGAUUUGAACAUCCACAGAUUUUGGUAUCCAUGGGGGCCCUGGAACCAAAUCCCAGCUGAUAACAAGGGCACACUGUACACAUGAUUGUUUUUUUCCCCAAACAGAUAUUAAAUAAAAUUCUCAUUAACAAGUGAUUUUGGGGGGAAAAAUCAGACAAAAUGGAAGGCUGUAGAUUUUUGAAGGUGUGGAAAGGAUACCAUAUUACAACUCUUCCUUGAAGAAAGGUGUGUUGGAACUGUGUAUUACUGUAAUUACACUUUAAUACAUAAGCAAUAAUAAUAGGUGGGAAAAAUUGAACCCUGUAUAGGUGUUUCCUGGCAUUGUGGUUGAAUUGCUUCAACAAGAACAGGGAAGAACAACAAAUGGAGAGCAUUCAGUGAAACCCACAAAAAAAUCCAGAUGUGAUACUCUGACAGGUGCAGUUGUUUCUGUGGGAUGUCAGCUGUGUAAAGGUGUUUAGUGGAUUUAAAAAUCCCAUUUCUGCGCAAGAUUUGCCUCCGUGUGAUGAGCUCCUAUGACCAACCACUGUCAGCUCUUGACCAUAGAGUUGCACUAGAGGACCUGGAGAUUCCUAGAGGAGUGUUCUCUUAAGUAAAAAGAAUGCUUUUUAAAAUUUGCAUUUUUUCCACAUUCAUGUGGGUCCUUCACCCCUAACCUCAGCAAAUGUGGAGGAACCACUGUACUUAACAAAAAACAAACAAAAAAACCCAAACAGUAAAAGACAAAACACUUCAUCCAGAGCUGCUUAACCUUAAUUUGCUAGUUUGGAAUGUGGCAAAAUAUGACUAAUUAAUUCUUGGUUUGAUAUUGUUUUCAAAAGGAGGAGAGUUGGUCUGUAUAUAAGUCAACUGGGCUUUGGAAUGUUCUCGCAAAGAGAGCAUAUCUAUGCUUCAUAAUGUUGUCUCAAAGAGAACAGUGCAAUUACUAACUUGUGCCACAGGGUGGGAGCAAAGAUUUAUGUCUUAAAAGUUAGUGAAAUCAAAUGAAUCCCUGAGUUUCCUGCAGUUUGGAGCUGUAAAGUGAACCCAGUUAGUUAUUCCCAUUCCACAAUCUUGCAGAGUUUUGUGCCAGUAUCUUGACCAGUUUGGCAAAUGCUGGUAUUAAUACUUGCUUCAGAAGAAACCUGUCAGAUGUUGUGAUUAACAGACUGCUCUAGAUGUGUUGAUUUGCUCUGUUGUAACUUCGGAAUGCAGGUAUAUAGAGCAGUGUAUCUGAUCUGAAAGAAGUGGAGAGCUGGGAGCAUAAACCCAUCCUCUAUGUCCCUAUAGCACUUCCAUUCUGUGCAUAGUGCUGGGAGAAGAGUGCAGCUUUUGUUGUGAAUGAGUAAGGUGUCAUGUGUCCAGUCUGCAAAGUGAGCAAAUGGUAAUUUGAGGUAUAUGGUAGAACUUGGAAACUAGGGAAGUGCUACUCACCCAGGGCAAAACUGGUGAUCCCUAUGGGGACCAGGGGAGCAUGCCUGCAUGAUUGUUCUUGGUUUGUAAAUGUUCCAUUUUCAUUCCCACUAGCACGAUCACAACUGCCCUCCUGUUAUUCAUUUACAAAAGGGGAAAAUAGACAGCUAGAACUCUCCAGAAAGUGCGAGUCUUCUUUACAACAAGAUGCUUGCCUAAUACCUUAUUUUUACAGAAAACAUGGCUGUUAGAGAAUACAGUGGACUUUUGACUAAUGGUUUUAGCUUUGAGCUAAAACCACUGAUUUUAGCAAUGGAAGUGUCAUGCAGUCAGCUUGGUCUGUGUGUGAAGGAAUUGAUUCCAAGACUUCCCAAAGUUGGCCAAACUUGUGUCUUGGGAUCACCAUCCCUAUUGCUCAGUUACAAUCACAAUUUCUGCGCUCUCUCUCUCUGUUUCACCCACUCACUCACUCACUCACUCACUCUCCUCUUGAAUCUUUGAAGCAGCGCCUGCAAGAAAAUUGAGAAUGGCAAUUAUUCCUUCACAGUCUGGCAUGUAGGCAAUUAGCAGCAGGGAGUUUGGCCAAGCAUGGCAUGUGUGAGAUCUUUGUUGCACAAGCCCCAUCACCCCAUGUGGCGGUGGCUUGAAAGAAAGGAAAUUGAUAUGUCGACAUUUACACCACAAGUCCUGCUUAGGUGGGCAUGAUUGCAGCAGUAUCAACAAACUGACAUUUUGAAAAAUGCUGGCCCUGCCACAUGGUUUUAGUCUUGAAAUUUUGAGUUUUACCCUCAGCUCUAAAGGUACAUUUAAAACUCUUGUUCCCUAACUUCUCCAGUGUUGUAUAGCCAUUGCACCAGUCUCGAUCUUACUUUCUUCUCAGAUGGCUAAGAAAUUAUUAUUACCUGCUUAUAUGCUCCCAUUUCUUGUCUUCUUUUUUCUCCUUACAGGAAACUCCUCCUGGUUACAUAAUGGGAUGGGAACUGUAUGGCUUUCUAAAUGUUAUUUGACUGCAAUUCCCAUCAGGUGUAGCUAGCCUAGCCAGUGCUGGGGGAUGGUUGAAGCUGCAGUUCAAUAACACCAGGAGGGCUGAAGAGUUCCUAUUCCUCCUUUGUUGUUUUUGGUGUAUGGCAACCUUAAGGUGAACCUAUCAUGGGAUUUUCUUGGCAAGAUUUGUUCAGAGGGAGUUUGUCUUUGCUGCCUUCUGAGAUUACAGACCGCCAUUAAAGUACGCGCGGAGCGCGUACUAGGAUUAGGAAGGGGCGGUGCUUUCGCACUCCCCUAACCCUAGUAUGCGCUCUGCACGCACAAAAUGGCGGCGGCCGUUCCACAUGGCCACCGCCAUGAUGGUGUCACGAACGAGGCGGCGUGGGCAUGAUGCCAUCUCUCCACACGAGGGCGAUUAAUGCGCCCUUUUGGCGGAGUAGGAAGGAGCUCUGAAACGGAGUCCUUCCUGGUUUGCGUCGCUUGCUGCAGCCGUGUGAAGGCUGCACCAGCGACGCAAAUAAGAAAGGGGUCGAGUGGCCACUUUCUGGGAGUCCCCGCUGCCGUUGGGGUGUCAUUGGGGCUUGAAGGCCUUUUGCCGCUUUCCCACAGCCUGCAAAGUGGCGGAUCGGGGCCUUGGAGGCUGCCGGUUUGGCAGCUGAGGCCCUGGUACAGCGGGGAAAGGGGCGGGUGCAGGCCGCCGCUUUUCAGCGGUCUGUAACCCGCCAGUAUGACUUAUCCAAACUCACCUAGAGUCAUAGUCCAAUGCUCAGACUGUGCUGGCUCUUCAUCCUUUACAUGCUUGCAUAAGAACUUCCCCAGGAACCACUGUAACCUAAAAGCUGUUUGGCCUGCGCACACGUUUCUCCUUAACCGCCCUCCCUCAACUGGCUUAGCCACCAGAAUGUUGCCAUUAAGUUACACACCACCAGUGCUGAAACUGAUCUCGGCUGUUUUUUGUGUUCUUUGACAAAUCCACUUUUGCCUAUAGGUCCCAUCACCUAGUUCUGUUGUCAGGGUAAAAAGGCAGUUGGAAUCCACAUCAGAUUGGAAAGGUCCCCACAUGAAGGGGAAUUGGGAGUGGGAGGCAGAGACAUGGCAAGCAUAAGUGAAUGCAGAGUUAUUUAACCUUUUAAAAAUAGUUAAUACAAGAUGUCCUUCAGUUAACAAAGCUUCUGAAAAAGAAACUUCUUUUACAUAAGUCUUUUUAUGGGAGCCCAACCCAGCCCAGCCCCUUUUUUCUUGUCUCCUGUCUAACUGGAAGCUUAUUGCAGCAUUGGCAUUAGCAAGAUGAUGAAGAAGGGCUGGAGAAAGACACUUUCACUGUUGGGUUGCAGCAGUGUGUCUGCAAUAUGCAAUGUAUCUGGGAAAGAAUGAGAUUCUCCUGUAGGUGGUUCUGCUGUAGCUAGGUGUGCUUACACACAACAGGCAAGGUAAAAAAAUCUGCCUCCAGAGUCACUCACUUACUGAGCAUGUGAGAUGAGCAAAUCAUAAAGAAAGAGGGAGACUGGCUAGUGGAGCCUUCCUCACUAGCUGACCUAGCAUGUUGAAAAUGUAUAGAUCUGGACAAUUUGCCACCAAAACGGAAAUGAUAAGAAAAGUGCUGAAAAGAAGAAUAAUCCUGGAUACAUUUUGGAAGAAGUUUCUAAGUGGUCUGUAGAAAAUUAAAAAUGUUUUUGUUCGGUUAUGCAAUGCUUGCCUGAUGUGAUUGUUUCUUUUCAUGUAUACAUAAAGUUGAAUAAAAAGUUUGCUGAAA